GGAUGAAUAGCUCAAUGGCAGAGCGUCGGCUUGUUAAGCCGUUGGUUGAAAGUUCGAGUCUUUCUUCAUCCG
RNAcentral lists this transfer RNA (72 nucleotides) under Chitinophagaceae bacterium. RNAcentral describes it as "tRNA-Asn". It matches the Rfam family "tRNA". Rfam says of the family: Transfer RNA (tRNA) molecules are approximately 80 nucleotides in length. Their secondary structure includes four short double-helical elements and three loops (D, anti-codon, and T loops). The record is from RNAcentral. Lineage: Bacteria; Pseudomonadati; Bacteroidota; Chitinophagia; Chitinophagales; Chitinophagaceae.